Molecule: ribosomal RNA, 500 nt
Filed under: uncultured bacterium
Lineage: Bacteria
Description: partial 16S ribosomal RNA
Rfam family: Bacterial small subunit ribosomal RNA
Source: RNAcentral
GACGAACGCUGGCGGCGUGCUUAACACAUGCAAGUCGAACGGGUCUGCCCUGUUUUUUGCGGGGUGGGUCAGUGGCGAACGGGUGAGUAACACGUGAGUAACCUGCCCCUCACUUCUGGAUAACCGCUUGAAAGGGUGGCUAAUACGGGGUGUUCUGGCUGUGCCGCAUGGUGUGGCUGGGAAAGAUUCACUUUUGUGGUGUUUUGGUGGGGGAUGGGCUCGCGGCCUAUCAGCUUGUUGGUGGGGUGAUGGCCUGCCAAGGCUUUGAUGGGUAGCUGGCCUGCGAGGGUGGGCGGUCAAACUGGUACUGAGAUACGGCGCGGACUCCUGCGGGGGGCAGCAGUGGGGGGUAUUGCACAAUGGGCGGAAGGCUGAUGCAGCGACGACGCGUGAGAGAUGGAGGCCUUCGGGUUGUGAACCUCUUUCGCCGGUGAAGAAGGUCCUGCUCUUUGUGGUGGGGUUGACGGUAGCCGGGUUAUGAAGCGCCGGCUAACUACGUG